This 311-nucleotide long non-coding RNA is filed under the name Piliocolobus tephrosceles (Ugandan red Colobus). RNAcentral's name for it is "lncRNA (ENSPTEG00000026289.1)". Lineage: Eukaryota; Metazoa; Chordata; Mammalia; Primates; Cercopithecidae. The record is from RNAcentral.
CAAUUGCUUGAACGUAGUAAAUAGUAAAUACAGUCUAAGAAGCACCCAAGACUCCAACAGCUCAGCUCCAAACUUCUGGACUGGCUUGAGAACACAGACUUCAGCGCAGCUGGGGACCUGGAUCCCAGCAGAACUGGCUCCCCUAGGCUCAGUGAGCAACCAGUGAAAUAUACCAGGAAGUAUGAUGUAUCUUGAAGCUUGACACAAAAACCUCUUGGCACAAGUAUCCUGGACAACAUGCAACUGAUGGGCACACCUGGCCGGUCUCAGCUCCAGAUGUUUUCCUUAAUCCCUGGCCUUUCAUCAGGAAU